CGGUCCCUUCGCAACGCAAAGCAGCGAACCCCGUCAGAUCCGGAAGGAAGCAGCGGUAGUUGUCCAUGCGGGUGCCGGGGUGCGGCU
This 87-nucleotide signal recognition particle RNA is filed under the name fish gut metagenome. RNAcentral describes it as "Bacterial small signal recognition particle RNA". It matches the Rfam family "Bacterial small signal recognition particle RNA". From Rfam's summary of the family: The signal recognition particle (SRP) is a universally conserved ribonucleoprotein involved in the co-translational targeting of proteins to membranes. Archaeal SRP consists of a 7S RNA and homologues of the eukaryotic SRP19 and SRP54 proteins. In most bacteria, the SRP consists of a 4.5S RNA and the Ffh protein (a homologue of the eukaryotic SRP54 protein). The record is from RNAcentral.